Molecule: ribosomal RNA, 299 nt
Filed under: uncultured bacterium
Lineage: Bacteria
Description: partial 16S ribosomal RNA
Rfam family: Bacterial small subunit ribosomal RNA
Source: RNAcentral
GAUAAACGCUGGCGGCGUGCCUAACACAUGCAAGUCGAACGCCCUGGAGCAAUUCAGGGAGUGGCGGACGGGUGAGGAACACGUGGGUUAUCUGCCUUGAGGUGAGGAAUACCGGCGAGAAAUCGCCGACAAUACCGCAUACGUUCGUAAGAACAAAGUCGCAAGACGCCACAAGAUGAGCCUGCGUCCGAUUAGCUAGUUGGUGGGGUAAAAGCCUACCAAGGCAGCGAUCGGAGCUGGUCUGAGAGGACGAUCAGCCACACUGGGAUUGAGAACGGCCCAGACUCCUACGGGGGCGG